This 253-nucleotide ribosomal RNA is filed under the name uncultured bacterium. Its description in RNAcentral is "partial 16S ribosomal RNA". It matches the Rfam family "Bacterial small subunit ribosomal RNA", at positions 524 to 776 of the family's 1533-position model. The record is from RNAcentral.
GACGUAGGGCGCGAGCGUUGUCCGGAUUUAUUGGGCGUAAAGAGCGUGUAGGCGGCUAGGUAGGUCCGUUGUGAAAACUCGAGGCUCAACCUCGAGACGCCGAUGGAAACCAUCUGGCUAGAGUCCGGAAGAGGAGAGUGGAAUUCCUGGUGUAGCGGUGAAAUGCGCAGAUAUCAGGAGGAACACCGGUGGCGAAGGCGGGUCUCUGGGCAGUAACUGACGCUGAGGAGCGAAAGCGUGGGGAGCGAACAGG